RNAcentral lists this transfer RNA (75 nucleotides) under Candidatus Dojkabacteria bacterium. RNAcentral's name for it is "tRNA-Pro". It matches the Rfam family "tRNA". Rfam says of the family: Transfer RNA (tRNA) molecules are approximately 80 nucleotides in length. Their secondary structure includes four short double-helical elements and three loops (D, anti-codon, and T loops). Further hydrogen bonds mediate the characteristic L-shaped molecular structure. tRNAs have two regions of fundamental functional importance: the anti-codon, which is responsible for specific mRNA codon recognition, and the 3' end, to which the tRNAs corresponding amino acid is attached (by aminoacyl-tRNA synthetases). tRNAs cope with the degeneracy of the genetic code in two manners: having more than one tRNA (with a specific anti-codon) for a particular amino acid; and 'wobble' base-pairing, i.e. permitting non-standard base-pairing at the 3rd anti-codon position. The record is from RNAcentral.
CGGGGUGUAGCUCAGUUGGCUUAGAGCACACGCAUGGGGUGCGUGGGGUCGCAGGUUCGAGUCCUGUCACCCCGA